AUGCUCCGCUAGAUUCUCAGUCAGGCCAAGAAGCAUCUGAGCUUGAUCCCCCUCUUUGUAUUUAUUGGAGCUGGAGGUACUGGAGCAGCACAAUUUGUCUUGCAUCUGGCAUCAUUCAAUCCAGAUGUUAGCUGGGACAGAAAGAACCCAGAGCCCUGGAACAAAUGGGGUCCCAAUGAUCAAUACAAAUUUUACUCAAUGAAUGUAGAUUACAGCAAACUGAAGAAAGAAGGUCCAGAU
RNAcentral lists this long non-coding RNA (240 nucleotides) under Homo sapiens (human). Its description in RNAcentral is "non-protein coding lnc-CYP7B1-9:1". The record is from RNAcentral. Lineage: Eukaryota; Metazoa; Chordata; Mammalia; Primates; Hominidae.